This 64-nucleotide transfer RNA is filed under the name Cavia porcellus (domestic guinea pig). It matches the Rfam family "tRNA", at positions 1 to 62 of the family's 71-position model. From Rfam's summary of the family: Transfer RNA (tRNA) molecules are approximately 80 nucleotides in length. Their secondary structure includes four short double-helical elements and three loops (D, anti-codon, and T loops). Further hydrogen bonds mediate the characteristic L-shaped molecular structure. tRNAs have two regions of fundamental functional importance: the anti-codon, which is responsible for specific mRNA codon recognition, and the 3' end, to which the tRNAs corresponding amino acid is attached (by aminoacyl-tRNA synthetases). tRNAs cope with the degeneracy of the genetic code in two manners: having more than one tRNA (with a specific anti-codon) for a particular amino acid; and 'wobble' base-pairing, i.e. permitting non-standard base-pairing at the 3rd anti-codon position. Lineage: Eukaryota; Metazoa; Chordata; Mammalia; Rodentia; Caviidae. The record is from Rfam by way of RNAcentral.
GGGGAUUUAGCUCAGCGGCAUAAGCGCCUGCCUUGCAAGCAGGAAGUCGUGAGUUCGAUCCCCA